UACAACCCUGCCCCUCCAUCACCAGUCACUGAAAAAACCUUCAAAUCCACUGGCACUCCUUCAACUCCUUCUUCACCUUCCAUCCCUGGGAAAAAGUCCAAGUAUUCCAGAAAUUUCCACAACAACCCUCGUCAAAUACACCCCGCAUUUAAACCUUUAGUUAGAACCCGCAAGAUUCCAGUUGAAACCCCUGAUGAAACAGCAGGAAAAUCAGAUAUUGAUAUCAAAGUUGAUGAAAAUGGGGUUUGUUAUGAAUUUCCAGAAGCCCCUUUUGUAUAUCAAUAUAGCUAUACUGAAACACCAAAG
Molecule: unclassified non-coding RNA, 306 nt
Filed under: Hevea brasiliensis (rubber tree)
Lineage: Eukaryota; Viridiplantae; Streptophyta; Magnoliopsida; Malpighiales; Euphorbiaceae
Source: RNAcentral